UGACACAUAUUGUAACUUGUGGUGCAUUUAAGAUAAUAUUAAUGUUAAUCUUGUGAUUAACAGGGUUCCCACAACUUCUAACACAUCAAAUUCAAAGACUUUUCAAGGACUUUCCAGGUCCAAUUUAUAGUUUUAGACACGUGUCCAGGAUAUUUUCGGAAAAACACCGAGGAUUUUUAUAAUGAGAACUAGCAGGAUUUACAGCAGCUCACAGGGAGAGAGGCUCGAAUGUGUGAACAUUUCUCAAGUGUGCGGUGUCACCAUGAGGGCAGACUUUGUGCUCCCUGGCCUUCUCUCACACAGCGCAGCAAAACUCUAUUGUGUAAGUUGAGUGAUGGAGACGACAACAUAUUUACUACUUAAAGAGCUAAGUAAAACAACUUCAAUCAUUGCACACAACCUACAAAUUCAAGCGCUUUCAAUAAACCACUACUAAAAUAAUUUUCCCCCUCGAAUUUGCAGACUUUCGGGGAUUUCCAGGACCUAAGGGAUCCAUGGAAUAAGUCAUGUACUGGCCUUACUGCAGAUACAGAGAGAUUUACCAAGAUAAAUACAAGACGUGGCCACACAGACGCCCCCCCCUCCCCCUCCCCCUCUGUUCUUUCAAUAAGUUGUCUUCCUCUCAAGUUGUGGGCUUACAUCUUAAAAUAGAUGAUAGAUAGAUAGUUCCUGCAGCUGUCAUGUCACCUCUUUGUGUCUCUGUCUCCUUUAGUAUCUGGGGAAAUGGUACUUUAAAGCAACGGUCAGUCCGAGAGAGUCUGACAUCCAGAAGUUCAAAGACCUGGACAACAUGUGGAUCUCCAUGGAGCAGCCGGCAAAUGACACACUGCUGGUGACCGGACAUAUGCGCAGAGGAGAUGACUGCAUAACACAGAUCUGGACCUAUUUUAUCCAUCCUGAGAGGGAUGAUGUUGAAAUGGAAGGAAGGCCGAAGCGGAGGACCCUGCUCUGGAGUGGCAAGUGGGCCAACUGCUCCGAGUGCAUCAUUUUCCAGGAAGUAGAACCACCUCUAAAGGAGACGGACUCAGAGGACUCCCUCAACAGAUACUUGCUGUACGGUAAGUUAUCUUUAAGGAAUAAUAACCCUAAUUUCAGACCUCUCCCAAACUAUUACCAUCUACAAACAGCGUGUCCUGCAUAACAUGUAAACAUUCCAAAACAACAACAUUGGAUGCAAAGCAUUUCGGUCAUAACGUUCUCAUUUUGGGGUGAACUAUUUCUUUCAAUGACAACGACUCCCGGAAAGGAUCAUUUAAACAAACACGUGUGAUGUGAUUGAAGUGAAACGCUCCACUGCACCAACAAAUCAAACUUCUUUGUCUUUCACCGCAGGCCGGCAGGGUGACGUCGACCACGAGGUGGUGAAAGCAUUUCUGGAAAACAUGUCUUGUCAUAACGUGUUGGCAAGUGUCAGACUUCCUCAAGAGAAAGGUUUGUCGUUUAGAGAACUAUAAUAUAAUAAUAUAUAUAUAAUAUAAUAUAAAAGAGGAUGCUUCUCAAUCUCAAAAUGUUUUUUUUUGUAAUCUAACAAUUAUAUUUCCAUUUACAGAGUUUUGCACCUAAAUAUUAACAUUGAGGUAGGCAUGAAUAUUAUAUCUUACUUCCAUUUGAAUGAUUUAUUUUACUUAACAUGUGCUGUCCUUGCUGGUUGAAAUAACCGUCUCUUGGUUCCACACAAGGUCUUACAGGAUGCUGCAGGAGCCGUGAACGUCCUGGACGACAAUACAAUGAUUUCAUCUUUUUACUGUGUAACGGUGAAACAAAUAAAGCAACAAUAAAAACAUUCCCUCAGGAAA
Long non-coding RNA from Cottoperca gobio, 1796 nucleotides. Ensembl annotates it as apolipoprotein M. The record is from Ensembl. Lineage: Eukaryota; Metazoa; Chordata; Actinopteri; Perciformes; Bovichtidae.